UGGGGAAUCUUGGACAAUGGGCGCAAGCCUGAUCCAGCCAUGCCGCGUGAGUGAAGAAGGCCUUCGGGUUGUAAAGCUCUUUUUACCAGGGACGAUAAUGACGGUACCUGGAGAAUAAGCCCCGGCAAACUUCGUGCCAGCAGCCGCGGUAAUACGAAGGGGGCUAGCGUUGUUCGGAAUUACUGGGCGUAAAGCGCACGUAGGCGGAUUGUUAAGUCAGAGGUGAAAUCCCGGAGCUCAACUUCGGAACUGCCUUUGAUACUGGCAAUCUAGAGUCCGGAAGAGGUUAGUGGAAUUCCCAGUGUAGAGGCGAAAUUCGUAGAUAUUGGGAAGAACACCAGUGGCGAAGGCGGCUAACUGGUCCGGUACUGACGCUGAGGUGCGAAAGCGUGGGGAGCAAACAGGAUUAGAUACCCCUGUAGUCCCUGAGCGGGCUGGCAAGGCGCAU
Molecule: ribosomal RNA, 448 nt
Filed under: uncultured bacterium
Lineage: Bacteria
Description: bacterial SSU rRNA
Rfam family: Bacterial small subunit ribosomal RNA
Source: RNAcentral